GUGCCAGCAGCCAUCGGUGAGAUUCCAGCUCCAAUAGCGUAUAUUAAAGUUGUUGUGGUUAAAAAGCUCGUAGUUGAACCUUGGGCCUGGCUGGCCGGUCCGCCUCACCGCGUGCACUGGUCCGGCCGGGCCUUUCCCUCUGUGGAACCCCAUACCCUUCACUGGGCGUGGCGGGGAAACAGGACAUUUACUUUGAAAAAAUUAGAGUGCUCCAGGCAGGCCUAUGCUCGAAUACAUUAGCAUGGAAUAAUAAAAUAGGACGCGCGGUUCUAUUUUGUUGGUUUAUAGGACCGCCGUAAUGAUUAAUAGGGACAGUCGGGGGCAUCAGUAUUCAACUGUCAGAGGUGAAAUUCUUGGAUCAGUUGAAGACUAACUACUGCGAAAGCAUUUGCCAAGGAUGUUUUCAUUAAUCAGGAACGAAAGUUAGGGGAUCGAGGACGAUCAGAUACCGUCGUAGUCUUAACCAUAAACUAUGCCGACUAGGGAUCGGACGGUGUUAUUCAUGACCCGUUCGGCACCUUACGAGAAAUCAAAGUGCUUGGGCUCCAGGGGGAGUAUGGUCGCAAGGCUGAAACUUAAAGAAAUUGACGGAAGGGCACCACCAGGGGUGGAGCCUGCGGCUUAAUUUGACUCAACACGGGGAAACUCACCAGGUCCAGACACAAUAAGGAUUGACAGAUUGAGAGCUCUUUCUUGAUUUUGUGGGUGGUGUGCAUGGCCGUUCUAGUUGUGGGGUGACUUGUCUGCUUAAUUGCGAUAACGAACGAGACCUUAACCUGCUAAAUAGGCCCGC
This 793-nucleotide ribosomal RNA is filed under the name uncultured fungus. Its description in RNAcentral is "SSU rRNA". It matches the Rfam family "Eukaryotic small subunit ribosomal RNA", at positions 564 to 1364 of the family's 1831-position model. Lineage: Eukaryota; Fungi. The record is from RNAcentral.